UAACCAGCUACCCAGUUCUUUGUGCCAUGAAACUCCUUCAGAAUGUCUGGUUUAUUGUACUGAGAGUGACUAUUGCAUCUAAAUCACUUCUCCAAAGUUACCAGGAGAGGACUCUAAGGUCACACCAGCCCCAGAUGGUCUUGACAAAUGUGAACAGCAUGAAAAGCAGGAAAUGCAGGAAAACAAGACAGAGGAAAUGGUAGAUCCAUUUGUAUCUUUUAAGGAGACAUGGUGAAAAAAAUCCAUGAUAAGCUGUAAACCUGAAGACGAAUCAUGAAAAAACAAUUGCCAUGAAACUGUAGUAAAUUCCCAGGUGUGUGGGGAAGAGAGACUCCAUGUUUUAGAAGAUGAGUUACACUCAAGUCCCAAGAAGGAAGAUCUGAGUGGUAGAUGUUUUUUCCAUUUUUAUAUUACUAAUGAUGAAACUAAGGCUCAGAGAAGUAAAGGAGCUUGCCUAAGAUGCUCUGAAAAUAUGUGGGAGAAACCACCAAACCAUUAUUAUAAUAAAUGAUCAUAAAUGAUAGAAUAAAGAAAAACCCAUAAGAGAGGAAAAUGAACCCCAGGACACUGUGAAAGGCCUGGCAAAUGCAACCUACAAUCCAUUUUGUGAUAUUGAUGAACUAUAACAUUGAUUUACCCUGUUUUUGUCACCAAAGGAAGCCACUGAGCCAUGGUUAUGAGAUUUCUUCUUGGACAUUUGAAAGUGAGAUUUUCCAAAUUCUUAUUUUUCAGAAGUUGAUGAAUUUCAGCCCUAGGCAGGAUUUUUAUAAAACAAAUUUAAGGGAGAAUAUAUUUUAGAUAAUUUAUUUUUGCUGCGAUUUAUCACCUGUUGGUUGAAGAUUGGUGUUUUAGGUGAUGCUGUUGUAAGUAGUACUGCAAACACUUUCUGCUUUUAAGUGUGUACAGCUCUCAGAAUCUGAAUUACAUGGUAUAGUGCUUUUGUAAAGUGUCUGUUUUCAAUGGUAUAAAGGACUUUUAAAGUUUAUUUUGAUAUUUUAAAUCAUCAAUCACCUGUACAUAGAAUUUGUUGUUUUUCACCUUUUCUACGUUGUUACAAAUGUAUCCCAGUCACUAGGCCAUAGUUGUCUAGGUUUUCACAAAGGUGUUUCUUUUCUCCAUGUCUUUUCCAAAAGACUUUCCAAGCUCUAGGAUUCAAGGCAGACCUCUCAUACCUCUUACAUCUUACUUAAAUCUGAUUUGGGCUUCAGGGAAAACACUGAAGACACAACCAGUACCUGAAACUUUUUUAGUCUUAGUGUUUUGAUUUAUCCUUGGUCACUUCCCCUAGCCUAUGAAAGGAAUUUCUGAUUGAGUUCUGC
This 1319-nucleotide long non-coding RNA is filed under the name Pan troglodytes (chimpanzee). RNAcentral describes it as "long non-coding RNA NONPTRT005062". The record is from RNAcentral. Lineage: Eukaryota; Metazoa; Chordata; Mammalia; Primates; Hominidae.